UAGUCCCACUUUGCUGUUCUAUCUGGGUGUCUGCUUCUUAAUGCUUUCAGCGCCGCCUGGGUAGGGGUCUCUGCAGCUGAGCUGGCUGCUCCUUCUCUUCU
This is a long non-coding RNA of Cebus imitator (Panamanian white-faced capuchin), 101 nucleotides long. RefSeq lists it as uncharacterized. The record is from RefSeq and is a predicted model, not a curated record. The transcript is spliced from 3 exons. NCBI's taxonomy places the organism in Eukaryota, Metazoa, Chordata, Mammalia, Primates, Cebidae.